GGGUGCAGCAGUCAAGAAAAUUUUGCAAUGCACGAAAGUGUGACCGAGCAAGCCAAAGUGAUCUUCCACAUUGGAAAAUCUUUUAUGAGAUGUAAAAAGUCUUAUGAAUAAGGACCGGGCAAGACUGGUGCCAGCCGCCGCGGUAAUACCAGCGGUCCAAGUCGCAAUCACUUUUAUUGGGUCUAAAACAUCCGUAGCUUGCUUUGUAAGUCUCUUGUGAAAUCCUGCCUCUUAAGGGUAGAACUGCAAGAGAUACUGCAAGGCUAGAGACCGGGAGACGUAAGGAGUACGGCAGGGGUAACGGUAAAAUGUGUUGAUCCUUGCUGGACUAACAACAGCGAAGGCACCUUACGAGAACGGAUCUGACAGUGAGGGAUGAAGGCUAGGGGCGCAAAACGGAUUAGAUACCCGUGUAGUCCUAGCAGUAAACACUGCACACUAAACAUUGGGACCUCUUCGAGAGGUUUCAGUGCUGAAGGGAAGCCGUAGAGUGUGCUACCUGGGAAGUAUAGUCGCAAGGCCGAAACUUAAAGGAAUAGGCGGGGGAGUACUACAACGAGUGACGCGUGCGGUUUAAUCAGAUUUUACACCGUGAACCUUAGCCAGAGCCGACAGCAGGAUGAAGGUCAGUCUAAAGGGCUUACCUGACACGCUGAGAGGUAGUGCAUGGGCC
This 673-nucleotide ribosomal RNA is filed under the name uncultured archaeon. RNAcentral's name for it is "bacterial SSU rRNA". It matches the Rfam family "Archaeal small subunit ribosomal RNA", at positions 328 to 1000 of the family's 1478-position model. The record is from RNAcentral.